RNAcentral lists this ribosomal RNA (501 nucleotides) under uncultured bacterium. RNAcentral's name for it is "partial 16S ribosomal RNA". It matches the Rfam family "Bacterial small subunit ribosomal RNA", at positions 29 to 523 of the family's 1533-position model. The record is from RNAcentral.
AUUGAACGCUGGCGGCAUGCCUUACACAUGCAAGUCGAACGGCAGCACGGGUGCUUGCACCUGGUGGCGAGUGGCGAACGGGUGAGUAAUACAUCGGAACGUACCUUAUCGUGGGGGAUAACGCAGCGAAAGCUGUGCUACUACCGCAUACGCCCUGUGGGGGAAAGCGGGGGAUCGCAAGACCUCGCGCGAUUAGAGCGGCCGAUGCCUGAUUAGCUAGUUGGUGGGGUAAAAGCCCACCAAGGCGACGAUCAGUAGCUGGUCUGAGAGGACGAUCAGCCACACUGGGACUGAGACACGGCCCAGACUCCUACGGGAGGAAGCAGUGGGGAAUUUUGGACAAUGGGGGCAACCCUGAUCCAGCAAUGCCGCGUGAGUGAAGAAGGCCUUCGGGUUGUAAAGCUCUUUUGUCAGGGAAGAAACACCGGCUCUAACACAGUCCGGGAAUGACGGUACCUGAAGAAUAAGCACCGGCUAACUACGUGCCAGCCGCCGCCGUAA